Non-coding RNA from Triticum aestivum (bread wheat), 135 nucleotides. The record is from Rfam. Lineage: Eukaryota; Viridiplantae; Streptophyta; Magnoliopsida; Poales; Poaceae.
CUUAUACUCCCUCCGUCUGAAAAUACUUGUCAUCAAAAUGGAUAAAAAGAGAUGUAUCUAGAACUAAAAAACCUCUAGAUACAUCCCCUUUCAUCCAUUUUGACGACAAGUAUUUCCGGACGGAGGGAGUAUUUA